This 58-nucleotide ribosomal RNA is filed under the name Shigella dysenteriae 1012. RNAcentral's name for it is "partial small subunit ribosomal RNA". Lineage: Bacteria; Pseudomonadati; Pseudomonadota; Gammaproteobacteria; Enterobacterales; Enterobacteriaceae. The record is from RNAcentral.
UUGCUCGCCACUUCGCCCUCCUCAAAUAAGAUUAUUACCAUUAUUGAAGCUGUUAAUG